GUUAGUAAUAUAUAUCCACAGGGAUGAAUAAGGAUUAGAAGUGAGGUAUGCUAUGUCCCUAGCACAGGGCCUGGUACUAAAUAGUAAUUCAGUGAACACAGGUAGGUUUUGUUAUUUUUGCAUGAACUGACUGAGGUUCCGGGGGUGGAAGGACGCAAUGAAUGUCCUCUCUAUUUCAAUAGACCCACAACUCAUGGAGACCCUACUGUGUGCUGGGCUCUGCAUUAGGCCAUGGAAAUAAAAAGAGGGUUUAAUCCUGGCUCCUGUCCUCGAGGAGCUCACAGCCUACUGGAGAGAGAGAGACAUACCCGGAUAUUCUCAAUGUGUUGCAACAAAUGCUAAGCUGGAGACAUGGGCAUGAGAUCCCCUGGUAGAGAGAGACCAUUAAGCUUCAAGUGAUCAUGCAGAAGAGCUACCAGCCAGUUUCAGAUAAUGGCCCUGGUCAUUGAGAGGUCACACUGUCUUCAUUAGACAGAGAAGGGAGAGCGUUUUGUGAUCCUCAAUAGGAACAGAAAUAUCAGCAGUUUGUGGCAUUAAGCCCACAAAUUUCAGGAAGUUGGAUUCCAAACUCUAGGACAUGAGGUCCAAAUAAAGUUGAAGAGAUUUUCAGAAACUCAAAUUAUGCCCAUGAGAAACAGUUGAAUAACUGGGCACACUCAGCUUGGCAAAGGUCAAGUUUGAAAUGUUCCUGACUGCUAAUCUCUGAAGAGCUAUCUGGGAAAUGUCAGUUGUUACACAUGUGACCUUUGAAUGUUCAAUUAAAUGUAAGAUACAGAGAAGCAGGUCAGUAUUAAAUAAGGACAAGCAUUAAAAGAUGUAUUGAAGCAGGAACAUUAGAAAAAAACAAAUCUCUAAAAACUUGGAUAGUGUGAAUAAGCCGAUAGAAGCUACAGUACAGUUUGUUUUGCAAAACAGCAGCUAGCAGAGGUGAAUGUUGUGAACUGGUGGCUUUCUGGCGGAGUGGUGUCUUCCCCAAACCCCACAACCACAGUGGUGGAAAAUGGCAGUUCUGAGGGUCACAUACAGAGUUCAGGCCAGAAGAACAGCUGCAAAUGUAAACGGAAAAUCCAAGAAGUGGAGAGAUAUUUAGGAAGACCAAGACCCAAAUCCUUCGCUGACAGCAGAACUACACGUGGUGGGAGGUGGCGCAGGAGCCUGGUGAAAAGCAGGGGGAGAGCACAGGACACUACUCUUGAAACACAGAGCUCUGCCAGAAGAGAUCUGUGAGUCUGAAGCUUCUUAAAUUGAGCACAACCCCAAAUCAUGAACAGCUAUUUUUUGGUGUCUUAAAUUUUCUUGCUUAUUGUGCAAGUUCCCCCAAUCCCCGCCCCCAACACCAUAGUUGAGAAUGAAUGAAAACUUUUUGUUUAAGGAAAAGUAAAACACCUGGUGUUGCAGCUAGUGUAACUCUCCCUACGUGGUGUAUUUUAAUGAUACUGUGCAAUUAAAACUUAAUUUUAUGC
Molecule: long non-coding RNA, 1463 nt
Filed under: Homo sapiens (human)
Lineage: Eukaryota; Metazoa; Chordata; Mammalia; Primates; Hominidae
Description: HSALNT0292027
Source: RNAcentral